AUGAGUACACAUGCAUACUCAAUGUGUGUGUGUGUGUGUGUGUGUGUGUGUGAGACAAGAGUCUGUCUCAGCGCCUUUUGCCACCCAGCGAUUGGAGACAGUUUUAAUUGCAGCAUGACAACCACAAGAAAGGACCAGAAGCCCCAUAAAAGCCAAAGCAAGCUGGCAGCUGUCCCACAGUGGAAAGCUAGCCAUGCCAUAAUUACAGGACUGCGGUGCCUCUCAGGAAGACUUGGACAUCACCGGCAAUCAAGGAGACAACGAGCCCCCAAAAUGGCUGCCUUGGUGCCAGGGGGACCACAGGCUGCUCUCCCAUCUCCCAUAAUCACCGGGGCGAUGCUCGGAUGCCUCCCCCAUUUGCAUAAUGCCAUCCUGACACUUUCACUUCCGCCAUCCAUCACCGGCGGCGUGAGUCCCGCGGCCUGCUCCGUCGCUCCGUCUCCCCCUGAUUGCGUCCUGUGUUUAUCUGCCCAAGCACAAAAGAUUGAUUCCCCGCUGUCUCUCGGCCUUAUGUUCAGCAGAUAGGGAUUUUCGCCGAAUGAUGAAGCACCCAGUCAGCUAAUGAUAAACAGAAAACACAUAUUCAAAAGGACGGUCUCCCCCCUCUCUCCGGCUUUAGUGUGGCUGCCGCUCGCCUCAGCUUCUCCUCUGCCAUGUGUGGGGAAGGGAGGGAUGUCAGGUUAAGGAAGUGAACACACUCUGCAGGGAGUUCAAUUUGAAACGCAAUUGUUUUCCUGUCAGUCCUUUUACAUUUUUUCUGUUGAUUUGCUCCAG
This 774-nucleotide long non-coding RNA is filed under the name Scophthalmus maximus (turbot). RNAcentral describes it as "lncRNA (ENSSMAG00000031101.1)". The record is from RNAcentral. Lineage: Eukaryota; Metazoa; Chordata; Actinopteri; Pleuronectiformes; Scophthalmidae.